UGGGGGAUUUUCCGCAAUGGGCGAAAGCCUGUCGGAGCAAGACCGCGUGAGGGAGGAAGGCCUUUGGGUUGUAAACCUCUUUUCUCAGGGAAGAAGAAAGUGACGGUACCUGAGGAAUCAGCCUCGGCUAACUCCGAGCCAGCAGCCGCGGUAAUACGGAGGAGGCAAGCGUUAUCCGGAAUUAUUGGGCGUAAAGCGCCCGCAGGUGGUUUUUCAAGUCCGCUGUCAAAGACCGGAGCUCAACUCCGGAGAGGCAGUAGAAACUGAGAAACUAGAGACCGGUAGGGGUAGAGGGAAUUCCCAGUGUAGCGGUGAAAUGCGUAGAGAUUGGGAAGAACACCAGUGGCGAAAGCGCUCUACUGGGCCGGUACUGACACUCACAGGACGAAAGCUAGGGGAGCGAAAGGGAUUAGAUACCCGGGUAGUCC
RNAcentral lists this ribosomal RNA (428 nucleotides) under uncultured prokaryote. RNAcentral's name for it is "bacterial SSU rRNA". It matches the Rfam family "Bacterial small subunit ribosomal RNA", at positions 355 to 796 of the family's 1533-position model. The record is from RNAcentral.